ACACGACCGUACCGCAAACCGACACUGGUGCGCGAGAUGAGUAUUCUAAGGCGCUUGAGAGAACUCAGGAGAAGGAACUCGGCAAAUUGACACCGUAACUUCGGAAGAAGGUGUGCCUUUAGUAGGUGAAGUCCCUCGCGGAUGGAGCCCAAUGAGGUUGCAAAAAAUCGGUGGCUGCGACUGUUUAUUAAAAACACAGCACUCUGCAAACACGAAAGUGGACGUAUAGGGUGUGACGCCUGCCCGGUGCUGGAAGAUUAAAUGAUGGGGUGCAAGCUCUUGAUUGAAGUCCCAGUAAACGGCGGCCGUAACGAUAACGGUCCUAAGGUAGCGAAAUUCCUUGUCGGGUAAGUUCCGACCUGCACGAAUGGCGUAACGAUGGCCACACUGUCUCCUCCUGAGACUCAGCGAAGUUGAAAUGUUUGUGAUGAUGCAAUCUCCCCGCGGAAAGACGGAAAGACCCCAUGAACCUUUACUGUAGCUUUGUAUUGGACUUUGAACAGAUCUGUGUAGGAUAGGUGGGAGGCUUUGAAGCAGGGUCGCUAGAUCUUGUGGAGCCAACGUUGAAAUACCACCCUGGUGUGUUUGAGGUUCUAACCUAGGCCCGUAAUCCGGGUUGGGGACAGUGCAUGGUAGGCAGUUUGACUGGGGCGGUCUCCUCCCAAAGUGUAACGGAGGAGUUCGAAGGUACGCUAGUUACGGUCGGACAUCGUGACGAUAGUGCAAUGGCAUAAGCGUGCUUAACUGCGAGACUGACAAGUCGAGCAGAUGCGAAAGCAGGACAUAGUGAUCCGGUGGUUCUGUAUGGAAGGGCCAUCGCUCAACGGAUAAAAGGUACUCUGGGGAUAACAGGCUGAUACCGCCCAAGAGUUCAUAUCGACGGCGGUGUUUGGCACCUCGAUGUCGGCUCAUCUCAUCCUGGGGCUGUAGCCGGUCCCAAGGGUAUGGCUGUUCGCCAUUUAAAGAGGUACGUGAGCUGGGUUUAAAACGUCGUGAGACAGUUUGGUCCCUAUCUUCCGUGGGCGCUGCAGAUUUGAGGAAGCCUGCUCCUAGUACGAGAGGACCGGAGUGGACGCACCUCUGGUGUAUCGGUUGUCACGCCAGUGGCAUUGCCGAGUAGCUAUGUGCGGAAGAGAUAACCGCUGAAAGCAUCUAAGCGGGAAACUCGUUUCAAGAUGAGAUCUGCCGGGGCCUUGAGCCCCCUGAAGAGUCGUUCAAGACCAGGACGUUGAUAGGUCGGGUGUGGAAGCGCAGUAAUGCGUUAAGCUAACCGAUACUAAUUGCUCGUGCGGCUUGACCCA
RNAcentral lists this ribosomal RNA (1301 nucleotides) under metagenome. RNAcentral describes it as "bacterial LSU rRNA". It matches the Rfam family "Bacterial large subunit ribosomal RNA", at positions 1636 to 2925 of the family's 2925-position model. The record is from RNAcentral.